AGCGAACGCUGGCGGCAGGCCUAACACAUGCCAGUCGAACGAACUCUUCGGAGUUAGUGGCGGGCGGGUGAGUAACACGUGGGAACGUGCCUUUAGGUUCGGAAUAACUCAGGGAAACUUGUGCUAAUACCGAAUGUGCCCUUCGGGGGAAAGAUUUAUCGCCUUUAGAGCGGCCCGCGUCUGAUUAGCUAGUUGGUGAGGUAAAGGCUCACCAAGGCGACGAUCAGUAGCUGGUCUGAGAGGAUGAUCAGCCACAUUGGGACUGAGACACGGCCCAAACUCCUACGGGAGGCAGCAGUGGGGAAUCUUGCGCAAUGGGCGAAAGCCUGACGCAGCCAUGCCGCGUGAAUGAUGAAGGUCUUAGGAUUGUAAAAUUCUUUCACCGGGGACGAUAAUGACGGUACCCGGAGAAGAAGCCCCGGCUAACUUCGUG
This 433-nucleotide ribosomal RNA is filed under the name uncultured bacterium. Its description in RNAcentral is "partial 16S ribosomal RNA". It matches the Rfam family "Bacterial small subunit ribosomal RNA", at positions 29 to 507 of the family's 1533-position model. The record is from RNAcentral.